UUGAACGCACCUUGCGCUCCUUGGUAUUCCGAGGAGCAUGCCUGUUUGAGUGUCAUGG
RNAcentral lists this ribosomal RNA (58 nucleotides) under Postia sericeomollis. RNAcentral describes it as "5.8S ribosomal RNA". It matches the Rfam family "5.8S ribosomal RNA", at positions 100 to 154 of the family's 154-position model. From Rfam's summary of the family: 5.8S ribosomal RNA (5.8S rRNA) is a component of the large subunit of the eukaryotic ribosome. It is transcribed by RNA polymerase I as part of the 45S precursor that also contains 18S and 28S rRNA. Functionally, it is thought that 5.8S rRNA may be involved in ribosome translocation. The record is from RNAcentral. Lineage: Eukaryota; Fungi; Basidiomycota; Agaricomycetes; Polyporales; Postiaceae.